AUGGCCAGUGCUGCCAAGGAGCACGUAGACAUAUACAAAGCUAAAGCUCAAGAGAAGGUGCUUCCAUCUUGCAUCUUGCAUCUAUUCACUAUUUACAGUAUACAGACUGUUUGGUUUGGAUUGUUGAAAAUACGGAAUGAGCACCGUAAAGUGUUUCUAAGAUAAAAUUAUUUGAGGAUUUCUCAACCGAAGGAGACUUUAUAUAUAUAUAAGCUCCUUAAUUAAUUGGGAUAUUAGAAAGAUUAGAAAUUUGAAAAAAAUUAUAUAUAUAUUGGAAUCGUUGUUUAGUUGUAUAUAUUUAGUAAUUAAUGUUAAUAACGUCGGAUGUCUGUUGGAAUUGUUAUUUUUAUGUUGAAACUGUAAGCAGGUGGUGAAGGCGACAGCAAAAACGGACGAAGAGAGGGAAAUAGCGAGCCAGAUAAGAAGAGCGAAAGAAGCAAAAGCAAAGAUGGAGUUUCAUGAGGCCAAAACCAAGCACUCUGCUGAAAAAUCGACUGCUAGUGCAGAGAAUAAAUCCCAUCUCCUCCAUGGACAGGAUGAUCAGCCUGUGGCUAGGGUUGGUGAUGGCCAUGGUAAUGAUCACCAACCUCACGAUGCGGGUCCUCUGCCUAAAACCACAGUUCCACAGUUCCGGCAUACCCACUUGGAGGUUAUCGCACCCACAAGUUUCCCUUGAAAUAAAUGUACUACUUUCUUUCUGGGGACUGUAAACCCUAGGUUUUGAAUAAUCAUGGAAGUAAAAGUUUACUUAUUUAACCAGGGUUUAAGAUCAAAGUUUAUGUGCAGCUCUGUAAAUUGCUCACUCUUGUAGGGUAUUUGUUACAAAUGGUCUUUUAUGUAUUGUAAAGUAGUCAUUUUGGUCUUUAAUGUUUUAAACUCAUCAGUUUGGUCUUUCAUUUAUUGACCUGCUCAUCAACAUUGUUUCUAACCUUCAAUUCCGUUGAGAAUUAUGUUAGUAUGCUAACGUGUCAUUUAUGUGGGUUCUAUGAUCUUUUCAAUUUAGAGGGGAUUUGAAUGAAUAAGUUUUCUUUAUGAGUAUUUCGUCUUGUACCCUUUAGUUGGUCAUAAUUUUUUUAAUUUCUCCCUUCACAAGCCUUGAAAUUGAGUGAGUAAUCUAUCCUAAUCGAAUUUUACAUAACAAACGAGUAUGCAUGUGGAAUCUACAAGUAAGAUAGUGGCGAUCAUUUGUUCACUAGAGUAUUCUGAAUAUCAGAGAAAUUUCUUAGAUGAGAGCAUGAGAACAAUAGAAUUUCAUUAUAGAGUAAACAAAACAAAAAAAACAAAAAAGCAAUACAAAAUUAGGGGUGGAUACAAAACUAACCGGACUAACCAAAUCGACCGAUCCGAACCAUAUUGGUCCAUUUGGUUUGGUUUAAGAAAAAUGUUAAACAAUUCAAACAUCAGAUUGAAUCGAUUUACUUUUGGUUUGGUUCGGUUUUGAUACUUUUGAAACUAGACUAAAAUAAAUCCGAAUCAAACAGAUUAACAAUGGUUUGGUUUUGUUCGAUUUCAAUGAUAGUAUUAGUCAAAGCCGAAGCAAACCGUUGAAUACUAGUUAAUUCAAUUAUAUUUUUAAAGUCAAACCAAAUUAAAUCGAUCAGUGCCCACCCCAUACAAAACAUGGUGAAACAGAUUUCCACCAACAAAAACAAAAACCAAAUCCCCUCCUACAUUAUUAAAGAACUCUAGAAACUAUCCUACAUCAGCUCCCCAAUCUAAUAAAAUCACAGAAAGUGACAGAUACACUAUGGCUGGAGAAAGAAAGAGAACCCAAAAUGAGGGCAAAAACCUGACAUUUCAGAGUUUUGUUCUAGGAAAAUAAUUUUCACACAACCCUCUUAAUUCCUCGUUUUUUGAAUUGAUUGAGUUAAAAAGAUAAUCAAACUAUAAAAAUAAACAUGAACGUGCAAAAAACAAAGGGUAAUGCCACAAAGAAUGAACCUUACCUUUCU
RNAcentral lists this long non-coding RNA (1952 nucleotides) under Malus domestica (apple). Its description in RNAcentral is "long non-coding RNA (MDOM_LNC005508)". The record is from RNAcentral. Lineage: Eukaryota; Viridiplantae; Streptophyta; Magnoliopsida; Rosales; Rosaceae.